AGCGUGGUGGACAAGAUUUUAGUCUUUCCUUUUUAGCAGUGACACGACGGAGAUGUCUUUUCUGUUUUUCUUCAUCCUCUUUCUCUAUUUCUUGAAUUAUAUCCGGUAAGCUGCAGAAACGAAAACAACUUUUCAGAAUUGAUAAGACAGGCAAAUCCUAUUUAACUAGAAAAUGAUUUGCCUGAUUUUCUAAGCAAUAGAAAACCUGUCAAUCUCUUUGGAGAGCUUUUCUGCUUUUGUUGCUUCAGCUUCUGCUUUCAGCUGUUCUUUGCGUCUAGCCCGUCGAUUUUUCUCAACUUGUGUUAACAUUUUGGGCUUUUGGGGCCUGCAUAUAUUUAAAUUAUGAUGUGUAAUUUCAUUAAGUGUUAAAUGAAGGUGAGAUAUAACCUAACAUGGAUUGCAAAGGAAGCUAAUGGCUUACCUAGUACACUGCAAAUUUUCAGAACACAUAGCUGUCUUACAAAAAAAAGAAAAAAUAAAAUCUUGAACACUGGUCACUUUACAACUGAACAUUAUUAGGAGAUUAGGAUGAUAGGAUCAUUACCACCAACGGAAGAAACAGAUAUGAAGUCGGAGGGCAUCAUUAGCUUCCAUAUUAUCUAUCAAGCUUACCAGAGACACAGCUCAC
RNAcentral lists this long non-coding RNA (628 nucleotides) under Nicotiana tabacum (common tobacco). RNAcentral's name for it is "long non-coding RNA (NTAB_LNC015404)". Lineage: Eukaryota; Viridiplantae; Streptophyta; Magnoliopsida; Solanales; Solanaceae. The record is from RNAcentral.